GGAGAGGUAAGUUAAUUUAGUAAACUGCGUGAUUCAUGCUCACAUAAUACGUUUUUCGUCCUCUCCU
This 67-nucleotide transfer RNA is filed under the name Opisthorchis viverrini. RNAcentral's name for it is "tRNA-Met". Lineage: Eukaryota; Metazoa; Platyhelminthes; Trematoda; Opisthorchiida; Opisthorchiidae. The record is from RNAcentral.